GACGAACGCUGGCGGCGUGCCUAAUACAUGCAAGUCGAACGAAGCUGUUUUAACUGGUGCUUGCACCGACUUAAACAACUGAGUGGCGAACGGGUGAGUAACACGUGGGUAACCUGCCCCAAAGCGGGGGAUAACAUUUGGAAACAGAUGCUAAUACCGCAUAACCACAGAAACCACAUGGUUUCUGUGUCAAAGAUGGUUUCGGCUAUCACCUUGGGAUGGACCCGCGGCGUAUUAGCUAGUUGGUAAGGUAAUGGCUUACCAAGGCAAUGAUACGUAGCCGAACUGAGAGGUUGAUCGGCCACAUUGGGACUGAGACACGGCCCAAACUCCUACGGGAGGCAGCAGUAGGGAAUCUUCCACAAUGGACGAAAGGCUGAUGGAGCAACGCCGCGUGAGUGAAGAAGGUUUUCGGAUCGUAAAACUCUGUUGUCAGAGAAGAACGUGUGCGAGAGUAACUGCUCGUGCAGUGACGGUAUCUGGCCAGAAAGCCACGGCUAACUACGUGCCAGCCGCCGCGGUAA
Molecule: ribosomal RNA, 524 nt
Filed under: uncultured bacterium
Lineage: Bacteria
Description: partial 16S ribosomal RNA
Rfam family: Bacterial small subunit ribosomal RNA
Source: RNAcentral